GACCUGGUGGUGAAAUGUAUUAUACCCAUCACAGUUAUAUGUUCAUAGGAAAAUUGUUUGUGGGAAUCCCUGGUUUGAAUCCGGGCCAGGUCA
Molecule: non-coding RNA, 93 nt
Organism: Mycena leptocephala
Lineage: Eukaryota; Fungi; Basidiomycota; Agaricomycetes; Agaricales; Mycenaceae
Source: the annotation of a GenBank genome assembly